This 253-nucleotide ribosomal RNA is filed under the name uncultured bacterium. Its description in RNAcentral is "partial 16S ribosomal RNA". It matches the Rfam family "Bacterial small subunit ribosomal RNA", at positions 524 to 776 of the family's 1533-position model. The record is from RNAcentral.
GACAGAGGGUGCAAACGUUGUUCGGAAUCACUGGGCGUAAAGCGUGCGUAGGCGGUCUUGUAAGUCGGAUGUGAAAGCCCCGGGCUCAACCUGGGAAGUGCACUCGAUACUGCAAGACUUGAGUACUGGAGAGGUUGGUGGAAUUCUCGGUGUAGAGGUGAAAUUCGUAGAUAUCGGGAAGAACAUCGGUGGCGAAGGCGGCCAACUGGACAGAUACUGACGCUGAGGCACGAAAGCGUGGGGAGCAAACAGG